UGGGGGCUCGUUGGGGCUGGACGACGCGGAGGCUUGGUGGCUCCUUGGGGCUGGACGACUCAGAGGCUCGAUAGGAAAAUUGAACAAGUUGCAAACUUGCAAUGGACAAACUUAUUGAAUGAUAAUUACUUUAACUCGUGGCUUUUGUCAUUAUAGUCCUUUCGUUAUAUCAAUGUAUAUGUUUUGUGUAUAUAAAACGUAUGCAUAUCAUUAUUGCUUUAUUAUCAUGACUUAUAUGCAGCCCCUGCGCAAGCUUUUAUC
This is a long non-coding RNA of Humulus lupulus (European hop), 261 nucleotides long. RefSeq lists it as uncharacterized. The transcript has 2 exons. The record is from RefSeq and is a predicted model, not a curated record. NCBI's taxonomy places the organism in Eukaryota, Viridiplantae, Streptophyta, Magnoliopsida, Rosales, Cannabaceae.